RNAcentral lists this ribosomal RNA (253 nucleotides) under uncultured bacterium. RNAcentral describes it as "partial 16S ribosomal RNA". It matches the Rfam family "Bacterial small subunit ribosomal RNA", at positions 524 to 776 of the family's 1533-position model. The record is from RNAcentral.
UACGAAGGGUGCAAACGUUGCUCGGAAUCAUUGGGCGUAACGCGCACGUAGGCGGCCCUAUAAGUCGGAUGUGAAAUCCCUCGGCUCAACCGAGGACGUGCAUUCGAAACUGUCGGGCUCGAGUAUGGAAGAGGGUCGCGGAAUUCCCGGUGUAGAGGUGAAAUUCGUAGAUAUCGGGAGGAACACCAGUGGCGAAGGCGGCGACCUGGGCCAAUACUGACGCUGAGGUGCGAAAGCGUGGGGAGCAAACAGG